RNAcentral lists this ribosomal RNA (415 nucleotides) under bacterium enrichment culture clone ALO1_GLFRUDD03GA8B3. RNAcentral's name for it is "bacterial SSU rRNA". It matches the Rfam family "Bacterial small subunit ribosomal RNA", at positions 9 to 426 of the family's 1533-position model. The record is from RNAcentral.
GAGUUUGAUCGUGGCUCAGAUUGAACGCUGGCGGCAGGCCUAACACAUGCAAGUCGAGCGGAUGACGGGAGCUUGCUCCUUGAUUCAGCGGAGGACGGGUGAGUAAUGCCUGGGAAUCUGCCUGGUAGUGGGGGACAACGUUUCGAAAGGAACGCUAAUACCGCAUACGUCCUACGGGAGAAAGCAGGGGACCUUCGGGCCUUGCGCUAUCAGAUGAGCCUAGGUCGGAUUAGCUAGUUGGUGGGGUAAUGGCUCACCAAGGCGACGAUCCGUAACUGGUCUGAGAGGAUGAUCAGUCACACUGGAACUGAGACACGGUCCAGACUCCUACGGGAGGCAGCAGUGGGGAAUAUUGGACAAUGGGCGAAAGCCUGAUCCAGCCAUGCCGCGUGUGUGAAGAAGGUCUUCGGAUUGU